CCUACGGGAGGCUGCAGUGAGGAAUAUUGGUCAAUGGACGCAAGCCUGAACCAGCCAAGCCGCGUGCAGGAUGACGGCCCUAUGAGUUGUAAACUUCUUUUGUACGGGGGUAAAGGCAGGCACGUGUACCUGUCUGAAAGUACUUUAUGAAUAAGGAUCGGCUAACUCCGUGCCAGCAGCCGCGGUAAUACGGAGGAUUCAAGCGUUAUCCGGAUUUAUUGGGUUUAAAGGGUGCGUAGGCGGGCUGUUAAGUCAGUGGUGAAAGUCCGCGGCUCAACCUCGGAAUUGCAAUUGAUACUGGUCGUCUUGAGAGUAGUUGAGGUAGGCGGAAUGCGUGGUGUAGCGGUGAAAUGCUUAGAGAUC
This 363-nucleotide ribosomal RNA is filed under the name uncultured bacterium. RNAcentral's name for it is "partial 16S ribosomal RNA". It matches the Rfam family "Bacterial small subunit ribosomal RNA", at positions 338 to 698 of the family's 1533-position model. The record is from RNAcentral.